AGAACGAACGCUGGCGGCAUGCCUAAUACAUGCAAGUCGAACGAAGGCUUCGGCCUUAGUGGCGCACGGGUGCGUAACGCGUGGGAAUCUGCCCCUUGGUUCGGAAUAACAGUUAGAAACGACUGCUAAUACCGGAUGAUGACGAAAGUCCAAAGAUUUAUCGCCAAGGGAUGAGCCCGCGUAGGAUUAGCUAGUUGGUGAGGUAAUGGCUCACCAAGGCGACGAUCCGUAACUGGUCUGAGAGGAUGAUCAGUCACACUGGAACUGAGACACGGCCCAGACUCCUACGGGAGGCAGCAGUGGGGAAUUUGGACAA
This 316-nucleotide ribosomal RNA is filed under the name uncultured soil bacterium. RNAcentral's name for it is "bacterial SSU rRNA". It matches the Rfam family "Bacterial small subunit ribosomal RNA", at positions 26 to 371 of the family's 1533-position model. The record is from RNAcentral.